UACGGAGGGUGCAAGCAUUAAUCGGAAUUAUUGGGCGUAAAGGGCGCGUAGGCGGUUAUGUAAGUCAGAUGUGAAAUUCCGAAACUCAAUUUCGGAGCUGCAUUUGAAACUAUAUGACUUGAGGUUUGGCGGAGAGAACGGAAUUCCACGUGUAGCGGUGAAAUGCGUAGAUAUGUGGAAGAACACCGGUGGCGAAAGCGGUUUUCUAGCUUAUACCUGACGCUGAGGCGCGAGAGCAAGGGGAUCAAACAGG
RNAcentral lists this ribosomal RNA (253 nucleotides) under uncultured bacterium. RNAcentral's name for it is "partial 16S ribosomal RNA". It matches the Rfam family "Bacterial small subunit ribosomal RNA", at positions 524 to 776 of the family's 1533-position model. The record is from RNAcentral.